This 492-nucleotide ribosomal RNA is filed under the name uncultured bacterium. Its description in RNAcentral is "partial 16S ribosomal RNA". It matches the Rfam family "Bacterial small subunit ribosomal RNA", at positions 29 to 507 of the family's 1533-position model. The record is from RNAcentral.
AGUGAACGCUGGCGGUAGGCCUAACACAUGCAAGUCGAACGGCAGCACAGUAAGAGCUUGCUCUUACGGGUGGCGAGUGGCGGACGGGUGAGGAAUACAUCGGAAUCUACUUUUUCGUGGGGGAUAACGUAGGGAAACUUACGCUAAUACCGCAUACUACCUACGGGUGAAAGCAGGGGAUCUUCGGACCUUGCGCGAUUGAAUGAGCCGAUGUCGCAUUAGCUAGUUGGCUGGGUAAAGGCCCACCAAGGCGACGAUCCGUAGCUGGUCUGAGAGGAUGAUCAGCCACACUGGAACUGAGACACGGUCCAGACUCCUACGGGAGGCAGCAGUGGGGAAUAUUGGACAAUGGGCGAAAGCCUGACCCAGCAAUACCGCGUGGGUGAAGAAGGCCUUCGGGUUGUAAAGCCCUUUUGUUGGGAAAGAAAAGCAGCAGGUUAAUACCCCGAUGUUCUGACGGUACCCAAAGAAUAAGCACCGGCUAACUUCGUG